This 606-nucleotide long non-coding RNA is filed under the name Mytilus galloprovincialis (Mediterranean mussel). Lineage: Eukaryota; Metazoa; Mollusca; Bivalvia; Mytilida; Mytilidae. The record is from RNAcentral.
CGAGAAACCGUCAAACAUGACUGAACAAAUGGAACCACGCUAUCCGAAGAGAAUAAGAAAAGAACCAUCGCAUUUAAAGGAUUUUGUGUUGAAAUAAAUGGUUGAUUUAUAAAGAGGCAUAAUAAUCCUCACAACCGUUUGAAGUGCAUUAAGUACUUCGCAGUGCAUGUGUGUACAUAUCAAUUAGUGUAAGAAAUAACAACAAGACCAGUGCGAACAUUUUUAUUUUUAUUUUCAUAGUAGGACAUUAUAGUUUCAGUGCAGACAAACUUUAACGAAUGAAUCGUUGUGAUCUGACAUUUUUAUUUGUUUCAAACUGAUAUGGACUUAUCAAUCAGUAGCCGUGAAAAGACAUUAAUUUUCUGUAAUUGAGUUAAUUUGUUUUUAAUUUGUUUUUAUCUAAGGCCGGAGAAGUGUUAUAAAGUUCACCUCACUUUAUUACCGUAUCAUCUGUUACAGUAAUUAUAAUUGACAGAUCAGCAACUCUCACAUGUCUGCACAUUCUUAAAUAAACAUGUAAUUAAAUAGAUCAAUUGAAGUUCUUAUACACAUGUUGUCAUUCUGUAGUCUGACCAUCAAACGAUGUACUUGUUAAUAAAUUAGUUA